RNAcentral lists this non-coding RNA (29 nucleotides) under Bombyx mori (domestic silkworm). The record is from RNAcentral. Lineage: Eukaryota; Metazoa; Arthropoda; Insecta; Lepidoptera; Bombycidae.
UCAGAAUUUAACCACAAAGCUGCCGUGCC